UGGAACUUGAGGAAGAAGCAGAACUUGCACAGAUACCAGUCUCAACGAUAUGUGAAGACCAAGAAAAGGACUGAUGAAAUGGACAAGGACAUUCAAAACCUGCAAACAAAACUGCAGACAACAGAGGAGGGAAUGAAGCAGUGGGUGAAGGAGGUUGAGGAGUGGGCUGCAUCAAGUCCAAAAUCCACCAACUGCCAGGAUCAACAGGGGCUGCAGCGGGUCAUGGAGGGCCUCGCCCUCAAAAUCAAACAGCGGAAAAUUGAGCUGUACAGAACCAUACAGAU
Gymnodraco acuticeps is the source of this 284-nucleotide long non-coding RNA. RefSeq lists it as uncharacterized. The record is from RefSeq and is a predicted model, not a curated record. The transcript is spliced from 3 exons. Lineage: Eukaryota; Metazoa; Chordata; Actinopteri; Perciformes; Bathydraconidae.